Molecule: ribosomal RNA, 301 nt
Filed under: uncultured bacterium
Lineage: Bacteria
Description: partial 16S ribosomal RNA
Rfam family: Bacterial small subunit ribosomal RNA
Source: RNAcentral
CAGCAGCCGCGGGAAUACGAGGGGGGCAAGCGUUGUUCGGAAUUAUUGGGCGUAAAGGGUGCGUAGGCGGUUUGAUAAGUCAUCUGUGAAAUCUCUGGGCUCAACCCAGAGUCUGCAGGCGAAACUGUCGGGCUUGAGUAUGGGAGAGGUGAGUGGAAUUUCCGGUGUAGCGGUGAAAUGCGUAGAUAUCGGAAGGAACACCUGUGGCGAAAGCGGCUCACUGGACCAUAACUGACGCUGAUGCACGAAAGCUAGGGGGGCAAAUAGGAUUAGAUACCCCAGUAGUCCCUGUCUCUUAUAC